Molecule: ribosomal RNA, 446 nt
Filed under: uncultured bacterium
Lineage: Bacteria
Description: partial 16S ribosomal RNA
Rfam family: Bacterial small subunit ribosomal RNA
Source: RNAcentral
GUAGGGAAUAUUGGACAAUGGGGGGAACCCUGAUCCAGCCAUGCCGCGUGGAGGAAGACUGCCCUCUGGGUUGUAAACUCCUUUUAUAUGGGAAGAACCGUCCUCAUUAAUGAGUGACCUGACGGUACCAUAGGAAUAAGCACCGGCUAACUCCGUGCCAGCAGCCGCGGUAAUACGGAGGGUGCAAGCGUUAUCCGGAUUCACUGGGUUUAAAGGGUGCGUAGGCGGAUAAAUAAGUCAGUGGUGAAAUCAACGGGCUCAACCUGUUAACUGCCAUUGAUACUGUGUAUCUUGAAUAUGAGAGAGGUAGGCGGAAUGUUGCAUGUAGCGGUGAAAUGCUUAGAUAUGCUACGGAACACCGAUUGCGAAGGCAGCUUACUAUUUCGUAAUUGACGCUGAGGCACGAAAGCGUGGGUAGCGAACAGGAUUAGAAACCCGUGUAGUCC